RNAcentral lists this long non-coding RNA (395 nucleotides) under Homo sapiens (human). RNAcentral describes it as "non-protein coding LINC01235:1". The record is from RNAcentral. Lineage: Eukaryota; Metazoa; Chordata; Mammalia; Primates; Hominidae.
AAAAUUUCCAUUAAACUCUGCCUAAGUCCUUUAGGGCUCUGUCUCUGUUUUGUUCCUCUUAAGGUUGUCACUUCUAUGCCUAAUGAUUAUCUCAUUGGUUCCAGGACAUUGUUACCAUUUACCUCCACUGGAUAUCUAUUUUCUUUCAAAAAGCACAAUCAACGUGCCUUUUCCCUGAUUUUCUCUGCCAAACAUAUCAGAUUGUGGGAGGUUUAUGGAUACACAGUACUUCACAGGCAACCUGAAAGGUCCCAAUUUGGGCCCCGAGUCUGCUGGAGAAAAGAGAAAGGCUAAGAAGCAGCCUACCUUACCUGUGGCUCUGGGUCUGAGGAUGGCCAGGAGAACAGAGAGCAAAGCAGAGCCAAUGCAAGACCUCUGGCCCUGGAAGCCGAAGG